AAAGAACUUGUGCAAGUGACUCCUGAGACAAGUGCUCUUUGAGUCAUCUGUGUUCUUCCCUUUUAGUUUCUUUCUUUAAAACUUUGUCUGGGAUUUUGAGGUGAUUUUUUGAGCCACUCUAUUGGACACAGCUUGUGCUUAUCCUCUGGUGCCAUCUGCUGCUGACUGAUCCAGGUGACCAUCUGUAAGCAAAGCCCAGACUCUGGCAUACCUCCUGGCAAGAUGUCAUUGUUCAAGUUUUCCAAAGAAUUGAGGUCCUCAUGCUUCUCCAGAUGAUCUCAUGCAAGGGCCUGAAGUUUGCUUCUCAUUAUCAAUCUCAAUGGUGCCAAGAUGCUUGGAGACAAAGAUGCUUUAUGGUGCUGGCAUAUGUGAGGACAGAAGCAUCAGACUGAGUAUGAAGGGACCACAGGACCUUUCUGUGGACAGCUUCUGCCCUAAGCAUUACCCAACGUGGCUGGAGGUGCUGAGCCUCAAUGGGAUCAUCAAUGAGCAAGGGGCCUUGGGAAUGUCACUUUGGGAAUGGAGGGGAUACAUUGGCACUUCAGGAGCAUCCAGGCAUGGAUAGUUUGUGAUAGUCUAGUCUGCAUUGCAAGGAUGUAGAGACAAGAACUAAGCUGGAUCCCUGAUGGCUCUCCCAACAUAGCAUCCAGCUCCCCACAUCUCUGGUUUCCCUCUGUAGGCUGGAAUGAGUGACCUCCAAGUAUCUCAGAGGUCUCACCAUCUAUAGGUGUUCUGCUUUUCUGGAUGAUUCCAGCUUCACAAGGCCUGGAGAACUGAGUUUCCCCUUCCCAAAGAGCAGAACCACAGCUCCAUACUUGUUGAUUCCUCAUCAUGGAUGUGUACCACAGGCUGGUCAGAGGGCUGGAAUGGUGCUCUGCCAUCUCCAGCAGAGGAACCAUGCCCAAUGAAGCUCCAUGCUCCAGAGUCACUUUCAAAAGACAUUUUUCUAAUGAUGGAACUAAGUUUAAUGCUUGCUCUUCAAUUUUUAUAACAGGCUUGUUGUCUGUUUAGAAAUGCUCUGUAGUUUUUAAAGAAGAGGCAACUAUAUGUCAUCCUGGGACACAUCAACUCUAGAGCUCUCAGAUCCAAAAUCAAGAAUUAGUCUUCAGUCACAUCUCUAAUCUCUCAGUGUCUCUAUAGUCUCCUUGGUAUGUGAGGGCACCUUCUUGGAACUAAUGUGUCUCAUGAAGGAGCACUUCUAUGAAAACCAACAAUUUCUUUACCCUACUUUAGCUGCUCUUUCUGACCAUCCCAUUUAAGUAAAAUUAAACUUAUUAUGAACUCUUUUUGAGUUUAGGCAUGAUGCUCAUGUUCUGUACCAUCUUUGCUUUCUAUGUCAGUAAAAACAUGCAAAUUCAAAAUAAAUGAAAUAAUAACAAAAUAAAAUUUUGCUGUUUCAAUUUUGUUUCUUAUGUAGAAGAAAUUUCUAUUACUGUGCUGUUUUCAUACCUCAGAAAUCUUUGCCAACCCCAGACAUAGGUCCCCAGGACAGAAUCAUCCAUAGUACCCAGAGUUAGAGAUUUAACUCUUCUUUCCUCAGCAGUAAAAUGAGUACAUGAGGUCUUCUAGCAGGAGGAAAUAUUGGGUGUCAGGAUGCUUAUGAU
Ictidomys tridecemlineatus (thirteen-lined ground squirrel) is the source of this 1604-nucleotide long non-coding RNA. Lineage: Eukaryota; Metazoa; Chordata; Mammalia; Rodentia; Sciuridae. The record is from Ensembl.